This 360-nucleotide ribosomal RNA is filed under the name uncultured rumen bacterium jw14RRI. Its description in RNAcentral is "partial 16S ribosomal RNA". It matches the Rfam family "Bacterial small subunit ribosomal RNA", at positions 547 to 897 of the family's 1533-position model. Lineage: Bacteria; Pseudomonadati; Bacteroidota. The record is from RNAcentral.
GGAUUUUANUGGGGUUUAAAAGGGGGGNGCAGGCCCGAUUGGUUAAGCGNGAACGUGAAAUGNUAGCNGNUCAACGGCUGAAACUGGCUUCGCGAACUGGCUAUUCUUGAGUGAGUUCGAUGUUGGCGGAAUUCGUGGUGUAGCGGUGAAAUGCUUAGAUAUCACGAAGAACUCCGAUUGCGAAGGCAGCCAACAAGGCCUUUACUGACGNUAAAGCUCGAAGGUGCGGGUAUCGAACAGGAUUAGAUACCCCUGGUAGUCCGCNCGGUAAACGAUGGAUGCCCGCUGUUCGCGAUAUAUUGUGAGCGGCCAAGAGAAAUCGUUAAGCAUCCCACNUGGGGAGUACGCCGGCAACGGUGA